UACGUAGGGGGCGAGCGUUACCCGGAUUUACUGGGCGUAAAGGGGGCGUAGGCGGCCGUGAAAGUCCGGUGUGAAAUACCACGGCUCAACCGUGGAACUGCGCUGGAAACUACACGGCUUGAGGACGGUAGAGGGAGACGGAACUGCUGGUGUAGGGGUGAAAUCCGUAGAUAUCAGCAGGAACGCCGGUGGAGAAGUCGGUCUCCUGGGCCGUUCCUGACGCUGAGGCCCGAAAGCUAGGGGAGCAAACCGG
Molecule: ribosomal RNA, 253 nt
Filed under: uncultured microorganism
Description: partial 16S ribosomal RNA
Rfam family: Bacterial small subunit ribosomal RNA
Source: RNAcentral